UACAGGGGGGGCAAGCGUUGUUCGGAAUUACUGGGCGUAAAGGGCUCGUAGGCGGCCAACUAAGUCCGACGUGAAAUCCCAAAGCUUAACUUUGGAACUGCGUCGGAUACUGGAUGGCUUGAAUCCGGGAGAGGGAUGCAGAAUUCCAGGUGUAGCGGUGAAAUGCGUAGAUAUCUGGAGGAACACCGGUGGCGAAGGCGGCAUCCUGGACCGGCAUUGACGCUGAGGAGCGAAAGCCAGGGGAGCAAACGGG
This 253-nucleotide ribosomal RNA is filed under the name uncultured bacterium. RNAcentral describes it as "partial 16S ribosomal RNA". It matches the Rfam family "Bacterial small subunit ribosomal RNA", at positions 524 to 776 of the family's 1533-position model. The record is from RNAcentral.